RNAcentral lists this unclassified non-coding RNA (253 nucleotides) under uncultured Pseudomonadaceae bacterium. RNAcentral's name for it is "contains 16S-23S intergenic spacer region". It matches the Rfam family "Bacterial small subunit ribosomal RNA", at positions 524 to 776 of the family's 1533-position model. The record is from RNAcentral. Lineage: Bacteria; Pseudomonadati; Pseudomonadota; Gammaproteobacteria; Pseudomonadales; Pseudomonadaceae.
UACGACGGUUGCAUGCGCUAAUCGGAAUUACCGGGCGUAAAGCGCGCGUAGGUGGUUUGUUAAGUUGGAUGUGAAAGCCCCGGGCUCCACCUGGGAACUGCAUCCAAAACUGGCAAGCUAGAGUAUGGCAGAGGGUGGUGGAAUUUCCUGUGUAGCGGUGAAAUGCGUAGAUAUAGGAAGGAACACCAGUGGCGAAGGCGACCACCUGGGCUAAUACUGACACUGAGGUGCGAAAGCGUGGGGAGCAAACAGG